GUUGACAUACGGUAUUUUGAACUUAUACUGAUUUGUAAUCAGUAGGUUGGGGGUUCAAGUCCCUCUGUCGGCACCA
RNAcentral lists this transfer RNA (76 nucleotides) under Thiotrichales bacterium. RNAcentral describes it as "tRNA-OTHER". It matches the Rfam family "tRNA". Rfam says of the family: Transfer RNA (tRNA) molecules are approximately 80 nucleotides in length. Their secondary structure includes four short double-helical elements and three loops (D, anti-codon, and T loops). Lineage: Bacteria; Pseudomonadati; Pseudomonadota; Gammaproteobacteria; Thiotrichales. The record is from RNAcentral.